This 92-nucleotide small nucleolar RNA is filed under the name Pyricularia oryzae 70-15. Its description in RNAcentral is "Magnaporthe oryzae 70-15 A. fumigatus snoRNA Afu_190". It matches the Rfam family "A. fumigatus snoRNA Afu_190". The record is from Rfam by way of RNAcentral. Lineage: Eukaryota; Fungi; Ascomycota; Sordariomycetes; Magnaporthales; Pyriculariaceae.
CAAUGAUGAUACCACCAGCUGGCACCAGUCAUAGGGCGACUUGUACUCCCUCCAUUGAUGAUAAAGCUGCAGUCUUCGGACAAACUCCUGAC